UAAUCGGAAUUACUGGGCGUAAAGCGUGCGCAGGCGGCUUUGCAAGACAGAGGUGAAAUCCCCGGGCUCAACCUGGGAACUGCCUUUGUGACUGCAAGGCUAGAGUACGGCAGAGGGGGAUGGAAUUCCGCGUGUAGCAGUGAAAUGCGUAGAUAUGCGGAGGAACACCGAUGGCGAAGGCAAUCCCCUGGGCCUGUACUGACGCUCAUGCACGAAAGCGUGGGGAGCAAACAGGAUUAGAUACCCUGGUAGUCAAGGGCG
Molecule: ribosomal RNA, 261 nt
Filed under: uncultured Burkholderiales bacterium
Lineage: Bacteria; Pseudomonadati; Pseudomonadota; Betaproteobacteria; Burkholderiales
Description: partial 16S ribosomal RNA
Rfam family: Bacterial small subunit ribosomal RNA
Source: RNAcentral